GUCUUCAUGGUGUAAUGGUAGCACACUUGUCAUGUAUUCGAGAGGUCCAGGUUCAAAUCCUGGCGAAACA
RNAcentral lists this transfer RNA (70 nucleotides) under Stegodyphus mimosarum. It matches the Rfam family "tRNA". Rfam says of the family: Transfer RNA (tRNA) molecules are approximately 80 nucleotides in length. Their secondary structure includes four short double-helical elements and three loops (D, anti-codon, and T loops). The record is from Rfam by way of RNAcentral. Lineage: Eukaryota; Metazoa; Arthropoda; Arachnida; Araneae; Eresidae.